RNAcentral lists this ribosomal RNA (1321 nucleotides) under metagenome. Its description in RNAcentral is "bacterial LSU rRNA". It matches the Rfam family "Bacterial large subunit ribosomal RNA", at positions 1561 to 2925 of the family's 2925-position model. The record is from RNAcentral.
AGUGGAUGGGGAGCAACCUAGUUGUGCGUGUGUAAAGGUAGUGCCAAGAAAAGCGAUGAUCAUGUUGAAAAUCAAUUCCCGGUACCCGAAACCGACACAGGUGGGCAAGUAGAGAAUACUAAGGGGCGCGAGGUAACUCUCUCCAAGGAACUCGGCAAAAUGACCCCGUAACUUAGGGAGAAGGGGUGCCACCGAGAGGUGGUCGCAGUGAAGAGCCCAGGCGACUGUUUAGCAAAAACAUAGGUCUCUGCAAACUCGAAAGAGGAGGUAUAGGGGCUGACGCCUGCCCAGUGCCGGAAGGUUAAAGAAGUUGGUCAGUCUUAGGAUGAAGCUAGCGACUGAAGCCCCGGUGAAAGGCGGCCGUAACUAUAACGGUCCUAAGGUAGCGAAAUUCCUUGUCGGGUAAGUUCCGACCCGCACGAAAGGCGUAACGAUCUGGGCGCUGUCUCGGAGAGAGGCUCGGCGAAAUAGGAUUGUCUGUGAAGAUACGGACUACCUGCAUUUGGACAGAAAGACCCUAUGAAGCUUUACUAUAGCUUGGAAUUGUGUUCGGGCUUCCUGUGCGCAGGAUAGGUGGGAGGCGUAAGGUAUUCUUGUGGGGAUACUGGAGCCAACGGUGAGAUACCACUCUCAGGAGGCUAGAAUUCUAACUUAAUUAAGGACAGUUUCAGGUGGGUAGUUUGACUGGGGCGGUCGCCUCCAAAAAGGUAACGGAGGCGUACAAAGGUUCCCUCAGACUGGUUGGAAAUCAGUCGAAGAGUGCAAAGGCAGAAGGGAGCUUGACUGCGAGAAGUACAGUUCGAGCAGGGUGGAAACACGGUCUUAGUGAUCCGACGGUGCUGUGUGGAAGGGCCGUCGCUCAACGGAUAAAAGUUACUCUAGGAUAACAGGCUGAUCUCCCCCAAGAGUUCACAUCGACGGGGAGGUUUGGCACCUCGAUGUCGGCUCAUCGCAACCUGGGGCGGAAGUACGUCCCAAGGGUUGGGCUGUUCGCCCAUUAAAGCGGUACGUGAGCUGGGUUCAGAACGUCGUGAGACAGUUCGGUCCAUAUCCGAUGUAGGCGUGAGAAUAUUGAGAGGAGCCUUCCUUAGUACGAGAGGACCGGGAAGGACGCACCGCUGGUGUACCUGUUAUGAUGCCAAUUGUAAACGCAGGGUAGCCAAGUGCGGAGAGGAUAACCGCUGAAAGCAUCUAAGUGGGAAGCCCACCUCAAGAUGAGUAUUCUGGUGUAAGGUCACGGGAAGACGACCCGUAAAUAGGCACGAGGUGGAAGUGCAGAGAUGUAUGAAGCCGAAGUGUACUGAUAGACCGUCGGCUUGAC